Molecule: ribosomal RNA, 460 nt
Filed under: uncultured bacterium
Lineage: Bacteria
Description: partial 16S ribosomal RNA
Rfam family: Bacterial small subunit ribosomal RNA
Source: RNAcentral
CCUACGGGUGGCAGCAGUGAGGAAUAUUGGUCAAUGGACGGAAGUCUGAACCAGCCAUGCCGCGUGCAGGAAGACGGCCCUAUGAGUUGUAAACUGCUUUUGUAAAAGGGUAAACCUGAAUACGUGUAUUCAGCUGAAAGUACUGUACGAAUAAGGAUCGGCUAACUCCGUGCCAGCAGCCGCGGUAAUACGGAGGAUCCAAGCGUUAUCCGGAUUUAUUGGGUUUAAAGGGUGCGUAGGUGGAUUGAUAAGUUAGAUGUGAAAUGUUCGAGCUUAACUCGAGAAUUGCCUCUAAUACUGUUGGUCUAGAGAGUAGAUGCGGUAGGCGGAAUGUAUGGUGUAGCGGUGAAAUGCUUAGAGAUCAUACAGAACACCGAUUGCGAAGGCAGCUUACCAAUCUAUAUCUGACGUUGAGGCACGAAAGCGUGGGGAGCAAACAGGAUUAGAUACCCGGGUAGUC